RNAcentral lists this ribosomal RNA (679 nucleotides) under Mycoplasma sp. M221-9. RNAcentral describes it as "bacterial SSU rRNA". It matches the Rfam family "Bacterial small subunit ribosomal RNA", at positions 333 to 1012 of the family's 1533-position model. Lineage: Bacteria; Bacillati; Mycoplasmatota; Mollicutes; Mycoplasmatales; Mycoplasmataceae. The record is from RNAcentral.
AGACUCCUACGGGAGGCAGCAGUAGGGAAUUUUCCACAAUGGACGAAAGUCUGAUGGAGCGACACAGCGUGCAGGAUGAAGGCCUUCGGGUUGUAAACUGCUGUUAUAAGGGAAGAAAAAACAGAGGAGGAAAUGCCUUUGUCUUGACGGUACCUUGUCAGAAAGCAACGGCUAACUAUGUGCCAGCAGCCGCGGUAAUACAUAGGUUGCAAGCGUUAUCCGGAAUUAUUGGGCGUAAAGCGUCUGUAGGUUGUGUGUUAAGUCUGACGUAAAAACUUGGGGCUCAACCCCAAAUAGCGUUGGAUACUGGCACGCUAGAAUUGUGUAGAGGUUAGCGGAAUUCCUAGUGAAGCGGUGAAAUGCGUAGAUAUUAGGAAGAACAUCAACAUGGCGAAGGCAGCUAACUGGGCACAUAUUGACACUGAGAGACGAAAGCGUGGGGAGCAAACAGGAUUAGAUACCCUGGUAGUCCACGCCGUAAACGAUGAUGAUUAGCUGAUGGGAACCAUCGGCACAGCUAACGCAUUAAAUCAUCCGCCUGAGUAGUAUGCACGCAAGUGUGAAACUUAWAGGAAUUGACGGGGAUCCGCACAAGCGGUGGAGCAUGUGGUUUAAUUUGAAGAUACGCGUAGAACCUUACUCACUCUUGACAUCUUCCGCAAAGCUAUAGAGAUAUAGU